GUCCGACGGUACAGGGUGAUAGUCCCGUACACCAAAAUGCACAGGUUGUGAACUCGAAGAGUAGGGCGGGACACGUGGUAUCCUGUCUGAAUAUGGGGGGACCAUCCUCCAAGGCUAAAUACUCCUGACUGACCGAUAGUGAACCAGUACCGUGAGGGAAAGGCGAAAAGAACCCCGGCGAGGGGAGUGAAAAAGAACCUGAAACCGUGUACGUACAAGCAGUGGGAGCCUCUUUAUGGGGUGACUGCGUACCUUUUGUAUAAUGGGUCAGCGACUUAUAUUCUGUAGCAAGGUUAACCGUAUAGGGGAGCCGAAGGGAAACCGAGUCUUAACUGGGCGUUAAGUUGCAGGGUAUAGACCCGAAACCCGGUGAUCUAGCCAUGGGCAGGUUGAAGGUUGGGUAACACUAACUGGAGGACCGAACCGACUAAUGUUGAAAAAUUAGCGGAUGACUUGUGGCUGGGGGUGAAAGGCCAAUCAAACCGGGAGAUAGCUGGUUCUCCCCGAAAGCUAUUUAGGUAGCGCCUCGUGAAUUCAUCUUCGGGGGUAGAGCACUGUUUCGGCUAGGGGGUCAUCCCGACUUACCAACCCGAUGCAAACUGCGAAUACCGAAGAAUGUUAUCACGGGAGACACACGGCGGGUGCUAACGUCCGUCGUGAAGAGGGAAACAACCCAGACCGCCAGCUAAGGUCCCAAAGUCAUGGUUAAGUGGGAAACGAUGUGGGAAGGCACAGACAGCCAGGAUGUUGGCUUAGAAGCAGCCAUCAUUUAAAGAAAGCGUAAUAGCUCACUGGUCGAGUCGGCCUGCGCGGAAGAUGUAACGGGGCUAAACCAUGCACCGAAGCUGCGGCAGCGACACUAUGUGUUGUUGGGUAGGGGAGCGU
RNAcentral lists this ribosomal RNA (885 nucleotides) under Citrobacter freundii. RNAcentral's name for it is "partial 23S ribosomal RNA". It matches the Rfam family "Bacterial large subunit ribosomal RNA", at positions 349 to 1239 of the family's 2925-position model. The record is from RNAcentral. Lineage: Bacteria; Pseudomonadati; Pseudomonadota; Gammaproteobacteria; Enterobacterales; Enterobacteriaceae.